CGGAGGGUGCAAACGUUGUCCGGAAUCACUGGGCGUAAAGCGCAUGUAGGUGGUUUGGUAAGUGAGCGAUUAAAGCCCGAUGCUUAACAUCGGAUCGGUUGCUUAUACUACUAGACUUGAGAAUGACAGGGGUAAGCGGAACUUUAGGUGUAGGAGUGAAAUCCGUAGAUAUCUAAAGGAACACCAAUGGCGAAGGCAGCUUACUGGGUCUUUUCUGACACUGAAAUGCGAAAGCGUGGGGAGCAAACGGGAUUAGAUACCCCGGUAGUCCACGCUGUAAACGAUGCUGACUAGGUCUUGGGGAGUAUCGACCCUCCUUUGGACCGAAGCUAACGCGUUAAGUCAGCCGCCUGGGGAGUACGAGCGCAAGCUUA
Molecule: ribosomal RNA, 374 nt
Filed under: uncultured organism
Description: bacterial SSU rRNA
Rfam family: Bacterial small subunit ribosomal RNA
Source: RNAcentral